UCCCAAGUAAGGUACCUGCGGUCGUCGGC
Molecule: non-coding RNA, 29 nt
Filed under: Homo sapiens (human)
Lineage: Eukaryota; Metazoa; Chordata; Mammalia; Primates; Hominidae
Source: RNAcentral